Molecule: long non-coding RNA, 290 nt
Filed under: Phaseolus vulgaris (common bean)
Lineage: Eukaryota; Viridiplantae; Streptophyta; Magnoliopsida; Fabales; Fabaceae
Description: long non-coding RNA (PVUL_LNC005062)
Source: RNAcentral
UUCAGUUAACCUAAUUUCAUUUUUAUUAAGAGCAUUUCAGUACUUUCGCAUGCAUAAUUGGGUGUCAGUCUAAUUUAAUUGGGUGCAGGGAGAAUCAUCCUACAUCAAACCCAAAGUAAAUAUCCAGAGAAAAACAAAAGAGUGGCUUUUGCUUUUUACAGUCCCUAAUUACUGUCCGCACCUCCAUAAUUUUUAAAUUGCCUCUUCUACCUUUUAUGCUUUAUUUCAAAGGAGCUACUUCAUCACUUUUCUUGCUUACGUGUUCCGGUUUGAUGGUAGUUUAAAGUUAG